ACGUGAGCAACCUGCCGUGAAGUGGGGGAUAGCUCGCCGAAAGGCGAAUUAAUACCGCAUGUGGCCAAGGAAGACAUCUUCCUGACGCCAAAGCCGGGGCAACCUGGCGCUUCUCGAGGGGCUCGCGGCCUAUCAGCUUGUUGGUGAGGUAACGGCUCACCAAGGCUAUGACGGGUAGCUGGUCUGAGAGGACGACCAGCCACACUGGAACUGAGACACGGUCCAGACACCUACGGGUGGCAGCAGUCGAGAAUUUUUCACAAUGGGGGAAACCCUGAUGGAGCGACGCCGCGUGGAGGAUGAAGGUUUUCGGAUUGUAAACUCCUGUCAUUAGAGAACAAGGCACACGGUUUAACUGACCGUGUGUUGAUAGUAUCUGAAGAGGAAGAGACGGCUAACUCUGUGCCAGCAGCCGCGGUAAUACAGAGGUCUCAAGCGUUGUUCGGAUUCAUUGGGCGUAAAGGGUGCGUAGGUGGCGAUGUAAGUCGGAUGUGAAAUCUCCAAGGUUAACUUGGAAACUGCAUUCGAUACUGCGUUGCUAGAGGACUGUAGAGGG
This 556-nucleotide ribosomal RNA is filed under the name uncultured cyanobacterium. RNAcentral's name for it is "bacterial SSU rRNA". It matches the Rfam family "Bacterial small subunit ribosomal RNA", at positions 115 to 658 of the family's 1533-position model. The record is from RNAcentral. Lineage: Bacteria; Bacillati; Cyanobacteriota.